GUUAGUGUUAUGAUAUGAGGGUAGGUUAGUGGUAUGAUAUGAGGGUAGGUUAGUGUUAUGAUAUGAGGGUAGGUUAGUGUGAGACAUGUUUGUAUGUAGUGUUAUGAUAUGAGGGUAGGUUACUGUUAUAAUAUGAGGGUAGGUUAGUGUUAUGAUAUGAGGGUAGGUUAGUGUUAUGAUAUGAGGGUUGGUUAGUGUUAUGAUAUGAGGGUAGGUUAGUGUUGUGAUAUGAGGGUAGGUUAGUGUUAUGAUAUGAGGGUAGGUUAGUGUUAGACAUGUCUGUAUGUAGUGUUAUGAUAUGAGGGUAGGUUAGUGUUAUGAUAUGAGGUUAGGUUAGUGUUAUGAUAUGAGGGUAGGUUAGUGUUAGACAUGUCUGUAUGUAGUGUUAUGAUAUGAGGGUAGGUUAGUGUUAUGAUAUGAGGGUAGGUUAGUGUUGUGAUAUGAGGGUAGGUUAGUGUUAUGAUAUGAGCGUAGGUUAGUGUUAUGAUAUGAGGGUAGGUUAGUGUUAUUAUAUGUCUGUGUGUAGUGUUAUGAUAUGAGGGUAGGUUAGUGUUAUGAUAUGAGGG
This is a long non-coding RNA of Oncorhynchus tshawytscha (Chinook salmon), 566 nucleotides long. The record is from Ensembl. NCBI's taxonomy places the organism in Eukaryota, Metazoa, Chordata, Actinopteri, Salmoniformes, Salmonidae.